CCAAGGGGAGUCCCGCAAGGGGCUGAGAUACGGCUGGCAAGCGCAGCGCCGUGACCCUUCGAACCUGAUCCGGAUCAUGCCGGCGAAGGGAUGGGGAAGUUU
Molecule: non-coding RNA, 102 nt
Filed under: Ochrobactrum quorumnocens
Lineage: Bacteria; Pseudomonadati; Pseudomonadota; Alphaproteobacteria; Hyphomicrobiales; Brucellaceae
Description: TPP riboswitch (THI element)
Rfam family: TPP riboswitch aptamer (THI element)
About the family: Vitamin B(1) in its active form thiamin pyrophosphate (TPP) is an essential coenzyme that is synthesised by coupling of pyrimidine and thiazole moieties in bacteria. The previously detected thiamin-regulatory element, thi box was extended, resulting in a new, highly conserved RNA secondary structure, the THI element, which is widely distributed in eubacteria and also occurs in some archaea.
Source: RNAcentral